Molecule: ribosomal RNA, 253 nt
Filed under: uncultured bacterium
Lineage: Bacteria
Description: partial 16S ribosomal RNA
Rfam family: Bacterial small subunit ribosomal RNA
Source: RNAcentral
CACAGAGGUGGCAAGCGUUGUUCGGAAUUACUGGGCGUAAAGAGCGCGCAGGCGGUCGUUCAAGUCGAGUGUGAAAGCCCCCGGCUCAACUGGGGAGGGUCACUCGAUACUGAUCGACUCGAAGGCAGGAGAGGGAAGCGGAAUUCCCGGUGUAGUGGUGAAAUGCGUAGAUAUCGGGAGGAACACCAGUGGCGAAGGCGGCUUUCUGGCCUGUUCUUGACGCUGAGGCGCGAAAGCUAGGGUAGCAAACGGG